This 497-nucleotide ribosomal RNA is filed under the name uncultured bacterium. Its description in RNAcentral is "partial 16S ribosomal RNA". It matches the Rfam family "Bacterial small subunit ribosomal RNA", at positions 28 to 507 of the family's 1533-position model. The record is from RNAcentral.
GAUGAACGCUGGCGGCGUGCCUAAUACAUGCAAGUCGAGCGAACAGACGAGGAGCUUGCUCCUCUGACGUUAGCGGCGGACGGGUGAGUAACACGUGGAUAACCUACCUAUAAGACUGGGAUAACUUCGGGAAACCGGAGCUAAUACCGGAUAAUAUAUUGAACCGCAUGGUUCAAUAGUGAAAGACGGUUUUGCUGUCACUUAUAGAUGGAUCCGCGCCGCAUUAGCUAGUUGGUAAGGUAACGGCUUACCAAGGCGACGAUGCGUAGCCGACCUGAGAGGGUGGUCGGCCACACUGGAACUGAGCCACGGUCCAGACUCCUACGGGAGGCAGCAGUAGGGAAUCUUCCGCAAUGGGCGAAAGCCUGACGGAGCAACGCCGCGUGAGUGAUGAAGGUCUUCGGAUCGUAAAACUCUGUUAUUAGGGAAGAACAAAUGUGUAAGUAACUAUGCACGUCUUGACGGUACCUAAUCAGAAAGCCACGGCUAACUACGUG